UACGUAGGCAGCAAGCGUUGUUCGGAAUUACUGGGCGUAAAGGGUGCGUAGGCGGUUUGGCAAGUCUUAUGUGAAAUCUUCGGGCUCAACCCGAAGCCUGCAUAAGAAACUGCCGGGCUUGAGUAUUGGAGAGGUGAGUGGAAUUUCCGGUGUAGCGGUGAAAUGCGUAGAUAUCGGAAGGAACACCUGUGGCGAAAGCGGCUCACUGGACAAUAACUGACGCUGAUGCACGAAAGCUAGGGGAGCAAACAGG
This 253-nucleotide ribosomal RNA is filed under the name uncultured bacterium. Its description in RNAcentral is "partial 16S ribosomal RNA". It matches the Rfam family "Bacterial small subunit ribosomal RNA", at positions 524 to 776 of the family's 1533-position model. The record is from RNAcentral.